RNAcentral lists this ribosomal RNA (497 nucleotides) under uncultured bacterium. RNAcentral's name for it is "partial 16S ribosomal RNA". It matches the Rfam family "Bacterial small subunit ribosomal RNA", at positions 28 to 507 of the family's 1533-position model. The record is from RNAcentral.
GAUGAACGCUGGCGGCGUGCCUAAUACAUGCAAGUCGAGCGAACAGAUAAGGAGCUUGCUCCUUUGACGUUAGCGGCGGACGGGUGAGUAACACGUGGGUAACCUACCUAUAAGACUGGGAUAACUUCGGGAAACCGGAGCUAAUACCGGAUAAUAUUUCGAACCGCAUGGUUCGAUAGUGAAAGAUGGUUUUGCUAUCACUUAUAGAUGGACCCGCGCCGUAUUAGCUAGUUGGUAAGGUAACGGCUUACCAAGGCGACGAUACGUAGCCGACCUGAGAGGGUGAUCGGCCACACUGGAACUGAGACACGGUCCAGACUCCUACGGGAGGCAGCAGUAGGGAAUCUUCCGCAAUGGGCGAAAGCCUGACGGAGCAACGCCGCGUGAGUGAUGAAGGUCUUCGGAUCGUAAAACUCUGUUAUUAGGGAAGAACAUACGUGUAAGUAACUGUGCACGUCUUGACGGUACCUAAUCAGAAGGCCACGGUUAACUACGUG